Molecule: ribosomal RNA, 433 nt
Filed under: uncultured bacterium
Lineage: Bacteria
Description: partial 16S ribosomal RNA
Rfam family: Bacterial small subunit ribosomal RNA
Source: RNAcentral
AACGAACGCUGGCGGCAUGCCUAACACAUGCAAGUCGAACGAGACCUUCGGGUCUAGUGGCGCACGGGUGCGUAACGCGUGGGAAUCUGCCCUUGGGUUCGGAAUAACAGUUGGAAACGACUGCUAAUACCGGAUGAUGACGUAAGCCCAAAGAUUUAUCGCCCACGGUUGAGCCCGCGUAGGAUUAGCUAGUUGGUGAGGUAAAGGCUCACCAAGGGGACGAUCCUUAGCUGGUCUGAGAGGAUGAUCAGCCACACUGGGACUGAGACACGGCCCAGACUCCUACGGGAAGCAGGAGUGAGGAAAGUUGGAAAACGGGCGUAAGUCUGAUCCAGCAAUGCCGCGUGAAUGAUGAAGUCCUUAGGGUUGUAAAGCUCUUUUACCCGGGAUGAUGAUGACAGUACCGGGAAGAUAAGCUGCGGCUAACUCCGUG